UACGGGGGGGGCAAGCGUUGUUCGGAAUUACUGGGCGUAAAGGGCUUGUAGGUGGCCAACUAAGUCAGACGUGAAAUCCCUCGGCUUAACCGGGGAACUGCGUCUGAUACUGGAUGGCUUGAGUGUGGGAGAGGGAUGCGGAAUUCCAGGUGUAGCGGUGAAAUGCGUAGAUAUCGAGAGGAACACCUGCGGCGAAGGCGGGUUGCUGGGCUGACACUGACGCUGAGGCGCGAAAGCUAGGGGAGCGAACGGG
Molecule: ribosomal RNA, 253 nt
Filed under: uncultured bacterium
Lineage: Bacteria
Description: partial 16S ribosomal RNA
Rfam family: Bacterial small subunit ribosomal RNA
Source: RNAcentral